UUUUAUGAAACGCCCAAAUUCUUGACAUCCUAUAUACAAACAUCUGUGUUAUUCCUUCACGGCACGUGCAGCACAAGUUCACCAAAAAAUGAAGGGUCAUGAACAACGCGUCAAUCACAUGCCAGUGAUUUCAAUUUGAUAAAUAGCAGCUCAAAGAAAUGUGUACCAUAAACAAUGGACAGUAUAUGUUAACUGCAUGAUUACAGGAAUAGGUGACGAGACCUUCGUUAGUCCUAACCCGGACCAGCCGAAAAAAUGAACAUGUUAAGAAAACAAAUUGGGGAAUAAACAAGAGGCCCAAGGGCCACAUCGCUCACCUGAGUCACUUGGCUCAUAUUUAAAGAUUUUCCCUCUAUAUUUGUAUGCAAAACUUUGAUCUCCCCCCUUUGUGACUCCAUCCUCCCCUGUGGGCCAUGAUUUUAACAAACUGAAAUCUGAAAUAUGUCUUGAGAAGAAGAUUUUUAAAAGAUUUUUCCUAUAUAUUUGCAUGUAAAACUUUGAUCCCCUAUUGUGGCCCCAUCCAACCCCCAGGGGCCAUGAUUUGAACAAACUUGAAUCUGCAUUAUGUCAGGAAGCUUUCAUGUAAAUAUCAGCUUUUCUGGCUCAGUGGUUCUUGAGAAGAAGAUAUUUCCUAUAUAUUUGUAUGUAAAACUUUGAUCCCCUAUUGUGGCCCCAUCAUACCACCGGGGGCCAUGAUUUGAACAAAUUUGAAUCUGCAUUAUGUCAGGAAGCUUUCAUGUAAAUCUCAGCUUUUCUGGCUCAGUGGUUCUUGAGAAGAAGAUUUUUAAAGAUUUAUCCUAUAUAUUAGUAUGUAAAACUUUGAUCCCCUAUUGUGGACCCAUCCAACCCCCGGGGGUCAUGAUUUGAAAAAACUUAAAUCUGCACUAUGUCAGGAAGCUUUCAUGAAAAUUCCAGUUUUUCUGGCCCAAUGGUUCUUGAGAAGAAGAUUUUUAAAUGAUCCCACCCUAUUUUUGCAUUUUUGUGAUUAUCUCCCCUUUGAAAGGGACAUGGCCCUUCAUUUGAACAAACUUGAAAGUCCUUCACCCAAGGAUGCUUUGUGGCAAGUUUGGUUGAAAUUGGCCCAGUGAUUCUUGAGAAGAAGAUGAAAAUGUGAAAAGUUUACGACGCCAAUGAUGACAGACAAAUUUUGAUCAGAAAAGCUCACUUGGCUCAGGUGAGCUAAAAAUAUCAGAACGAAAGGGGAUGGAUAAUUAAUCAAAAAGAAUUUGUACUUUCAAGUUUAAAAACUUCCCGUAUCUGCAUACAUACAUGUAUAUUAUAAUCAAUAAUUACCAAUGUUCUCUAUUUACAGAAAUGAGAUGUACCCGAAAGGUACCCAAAACGUAUCUGUAAGGUACCCGAAGCAACUUUUUCCUUGAAAAAUGUACCCAAAAAGUACCCGCAAAAAACAGCCAUUUUUCGACAGUACCCGGAACGUACCCGACUAUUGUAAAAAGUACCCAAAAUGUACUCAGAUUAAAAAUUGAAAAGCUAAUAUGUACAUGAAAUGUACCCAACAGAAAAAUAUAAAUGUUCAAAUGUACCCGAAUUGUACCCAGGGUAUCAAUUAAGGAAGUUAAAAUGUAUUCGAUAUGUACCCACUUUAAAGUUACCAAGUUGAAAUGUACCCAAAAUGUACCCAACAAAAAAUAUUAAUGUUGAAAUGUUUACCAGAAAUGUACCCUGGGUAAAUUAAAAAAUUAAAUUGUACCCGUAAUGUACCAACUUUAAAUGUGACUAUUGAAAAUGUACCCGAAACGUACCCAUUUAAAUAAACCUUGUAAUUUCACAACAGAUACAAAUACAUUAAACAAUUUCACAACUGAUUUUGAAAUAAGAAAGCUUUUAUAGUCAAUUGUACCAGCAUUAUGUACCCAACCUCAAUCUGGCAUGUUUUUUUUUUUAUUGAUGUAUGUAUGUUGUAGACAUUUUUUGUUUAAAAAAAAAAAAAAAAUAUAUAUAUAUAUAUAUGAAAUAGUGCAAAUCCUGUUGAUGUUAAUGAAUUUUAAUUUAUCUAUAAAAAGGUUUUUUUUGUUCUGCCAUUAAGGUAGCUAUAGUAUUAAAGAAAAUCUGAAGGAUUACAUGAAGGGAUCCAUCCCUAAACCUCUAAAUGGAAAGCUAUUUUCCAUUUUUAAAAACAUAACAAUCAAAAAUAAAUAAUUGUAGAGACCUAGUAGUAAGAUAGUCUUUUGAACUUGAUAAUGCUACAUGAUUGUUAGUCUGCAGCAAUUUCAUAAGAAAAAUUAUCUGACAGUCACUGAAUUUAAUUAUAUAUUUGGUAAACAAUCUGUAUAUAUCAUAAUACAUGCAUAUAUAGAUCUAUCUGUAUUUGAUUUUUUAUUUAAUAAUUUAUUUAUUUAUUUUUUUUUUUUUUUUUUUUUUUUUAAUAUUGAUAUACACUGUAUUUCAAAAGAUGUCCCUGCAGAAGGAAAUUAUUGAAGAUCAACAUAUUAUUUUUAUAAACUAGUUAACUUAUUAAUGCUAUUUCAUUUGUAACACCUCAUAGUUUAACCACUCUUAUUAUGUAUAAAGCAGGUCAAACUGAAAUAACUUAAGUAACGUCGGCAUUAUGUUAAAAUCAGCUCGAUCCGCUCCUUUAUUUUUAUGUUGUCGCAAUACGAGGAGCGGAUCGAGGAGCUGGUUUUAAUCAGAUUGGUCCGAAGGAACAGUAAGAGUUAUCAAUUGACAAGUAAAAAUUUAAGUUGAUAGCACAAGUGACCAGUGAUUAGAAAUAUUUAUUUAUUGUCCUGUAAUUUGGUUAUAGGAAGGUCUUUGGUAUCCUUUGAUUAUUUACAAUUUCAUUUCUCUUUCAGAAUAAAAUUCAUGAUAGAUACAGAAUUUAUAUGGUGUGACCACUGACCAGACUGGUUUUAAUAUGCCAUUCUGAGAAUUACACUAUGAAGACCUGGAUCAAUGUUUAUAUAGUUCCAAAAUGAGUUUACUCUGAAUGACACUUCAGUUCAUGCACAUUUUAGAAUGUACGUCAUCAAUGUUCUCCCAAAGGAAAGUGAGCAAAAACUUAUCCAGAGAAUCAACAGCACAUUUUUGUGAAACUUUUUAAAAUGCGCAGGAGAAAUAGGAUUACGAAGAAGAGAAGCUUCGUCAUAAUUUUUAUAGUAUGAAUUAAAUGCAAUUUCUCAUAUAUUAAGAUUCUUCAUUUUUUUAGGACACAUGGUUGGUAAUAUUCAUGAAAACUAGCAGAACUCCAGUACAUUUGAAG
Ostrea edulis (European flat oyster) is the source of this 3220-nucleotide long non-coding RNA. RefSeq lists it as uncharacterized. The transcript has 3 exons. Lineage: Eukaryota; Metazoa; Mollusca; Bivalvia; Ostreida; Ostreidae. The record is from RefSeq and is a predicted model, not a curated record.